ACAUACGGGAGAGAUCAACCACUCAAAAAAAAAAAACCGGAGAGAUCAACAGACGGCCGGCCGGAACAUGCCCGCUCGUCGGGACUCGGGAGUACCGACCAAUCCUCGCCGCCUGCCGAUCAGAAAAGCGAGGUGCUCGUGAAGUCGGCUUGAUAUCCGGAGUAGCCAGCAAGCCCAGCCCAGCGGCCGAUCCGUGAUCCGUGUUGGAGAGAGCGAGGGAGAGAAGAUGCGGCCGCGGCUGGUGCUCUUCGGCGACUCAAUCACCGAGCAGUCCUUUGCCCCCGGCGGCUGGGGCGCCGCCCUCGCGGAGCACUUCGCGAGGCAGGCGGAUGUGGUGCUCCGCGGGCUCAGCGGGUACAACACGCGCUGGGCGCUGAAGGUGCUGGACAGAGCCAUGGAGGGGGCGGCCGACGGCGGCGCGGACCCGGCGGCAGUGACGGUGUUCUUCGGCGCCAACGACGCCACCCUGCCCGACGAGGUGCAGGCGCACCAGCACGUGCCGCUCGGGGAGUACAAGGACAACCUGCGCGCGAUCUGUGCCUACUUCAAGAAUAAGUGGCCCUCCGCUGCCAUCAUACUCAUCACCCCUCCACCGAUCCACGAGCCGGCGAGGAUUCGAGACAUAUAUGGAGAUAAUGACCCUUCAAGACAGCCUGAAAGAACAAAUGAAGCUGCUGGCACUUAUGCACAAGCAUGCAUAACUGUUGCUAAAGAACUGGGUCAUCCAGUUAUAGACAUCUGGACGCAGAUGCAGCAAUGUCCUGAUUGGCAAACAUCUGCAUUAAGUGACGGGCUCCAUUUCACCCCGUUCGGGAACAAAAUUUUGUUCGACGAGGUGCUGAAGACACUGGAAAGUGUUGGUUUCAGCCAGCACAGUCUCCGGUCCGAUCUCCCUCUCUUCCAUGAAAUUGACCCCAAGGACCCACUGAAAGCCUUUGAGAUUUGAAGAAGGUAUCUGCCGCAUGGUUGGAUUCCCAGAAGGAAGGCACUAUGACUCAGCUUUAUGUUCUGAAAACAAACUAUGUUGGUUUGGUGACUGAUGUGUUCUGUAACAUGGAUAUAUUGUGCCUAUGUUCUAUGUCAGCAAUGCUCGUGACUUAUUUCGAAGAUGUUGCAUGUAUUUAAGGACUUUUUUUGGAGCUUCUAGAAGGUUUUGGUCUGGCAUAUUUUACGUUUU
This 1177-nucleotide ribosomal RNA is filed under the name Triticum aestivum (bread wheat). RNAcentral describes it as "partial small subunit ribosomal RNA". Lineage: Eukaryota; Viridiplantae; Streptophyta; Magnoliopsida; Poales; Poaceae. The record is from RNAcentral.